GCAAUGACUUUCUUGUUUUCAAGAGAGUUGUGGCGAUGAUGGUCAGGAAAAAACAUUUGACCGAAUCGGGAUGGGAAAAGAUUCUUAAACUCGCAAGUUUAACGAAUCGGAAGAAAGUACGUUUCUAGAAUCCUCAGAGACUAUACGCCAAACCCGUUGCACGCAACGGUGAAGAUAUAGUCCGAACUGCAUAGCGAUAUGCAG
This 204-nucleotide non-coding RNA is filed under the name Candidatus Giovannonibacteria bacterium GW2011_GWB1_47_6b. Lineage: Bacteria; Candidatus Giovannoniibacteriota. The record is from RNAcentral.